CCUACGGGAGGCAGCAGUGAGGAAUAUUGGUCAAUGUACGAGAGUCUGAACCAGCCAAGUAGCGUGAAGGAUGACUGCCCUAUGGGUUGUAAACUUCUUUUAUAUGGGAAUAAAACGUUCCACGUGUGGGAUUUUGUAUGUACCAUAUGAAUAAGGAUCGGCUAACUCCGUGCCAGCAGCCGCGGUAAUACGGAGGAUCCGAGCGUUAUCCGGAUUUAUUGGGUUUAAAGGGAGCGUAGGUGGAUUGUUAAGUCAGUUGUGAAAGUUUGCGGCUCAACCGUAAAAUUGCAGUUGAAACUGGCAGUCUUGAGUACAGUAGAGGUGGGCGGAAUUCGUGGUGUAGCGGUGAAAUGCUUAGAUAUCACGAAGAACUCCGAUUGCGAAGGCAGUUCACUGGACUGCAACUGACACUGAGGCUCGAAAGUGUGGGUAUCAAACAGGAUUAGAUACCCUUGUAGUC
This 460-nucleotide ribosomal RNA is filed under the name uncultured bacterium. Its description in RNAcentral is "partial 16S ribosomal RNA". It matches the Rfam family "Bacterial small subunit ribosomal RNA", at positions 338 to 795 of the family's 1533-position model. The record is from RNAcentral.